RNAcentral lists this long non-coding RNA (224 nucleotides) under Gossypium barbadense (sea-island cotton). Its description in RNAcentral is "long non-coding RNA (GBAR_LNC015104)". The record is from RNAcentral. Lineage: Eukaryota; Viridiplantae; Streptophyta; Magnoliopsida; Malvales; Malvaceae.
UUAACUUGUAAUUUGCUUGAAUUUUUAAUAACAAAAUACUCUAAUGGAAACAAAAAAUUUAUGAUAUAAUAUCUUGUUUCCUUUUUUAUAGAACAUUUACUUCAAUUCUUUAAGAUUGUGGAGGAGAUUUAUCAUAAUGUUAGGUUAUCUAAUUCAAAUUAAUUGAGAGGGUUCACUGUAAUUUAUUGUUGAUGCAAGUUUAAAAAAUACUAGACUAUUUAUCU